CGAUGAAACUUUAACAGAACCCUUCGGGGCGAAGAUAAAGUGGAUUAGCGGCGGACGGGUGAGUAACACGUGGGUAACCUGCCUUAGACAUUGGGAUAGCCUCGGAAAACUGGGAUUAAUACCAAAUAAAAUCGUAAUGACACAUGUCAUAACGAUCAAAACUCCGGUGGUCUAAGAUGGACUCGCGUCCCAUUAGCUAGUUGGUAGAGUAAAAGCCUACCAAGGCGACGAUGGGUAGCCGGCCUGAGAGGGUGAACGGCCACAUUGGAACUGAGAAACGGUCCAAACUCCUACGGGAGGCAGCAGUGGGGAAUAUUGCACAAUGGAGGGAACUCUGAUGCAGCGACGCCGCGUGAACGAAGAAGGCUUUCGAGUCGUAAAGUUCUUUUAUAUGGGAAGAUAAUGACGGUACCAUAAGAAAAAGCCCCGGCUAACUACGUGCCAGCAGCCGCGGUAAUACGUAGGGGGCUAGCGUUGUCCGGAAUCACUGGGCGUAAAGGGUUCGCAGGCGGAAAUGCAAGUCAGAUGUAAAAGGCAGUAGCUUAACUACUGUAAGCAUUUGAAACUGCAUAUCUUGAGAAGAGUAGAGGUAAGUGGAAUUUUUAGUGUAGCGGUGAAAUGCGUAGAUAUUAAAAAGAAUACCGGUGGCGAAGGCGACUUACUGGGCUCAUUCUGACGCUGAGGAACGAAAGCGUGGGUAGCAAACAG
RNAcentral lists this ribosomal RNA (708 nucleotides) under uncultured Eubacteriales bacterium. RNAcentral's name for it is "bacterial SSU rRNA". It matches the Rfam family "Bacterial small subunit ribosomal RNA", at positions 54 to 775 of the family's 1533-position model. The record is from RNAcentral. Lineage: Bacteria; Bacillati; Bacillota; Clostridia; Eubacteriales.